This 68-nucleotide transfer RNA is filed under the name Bradyrhizobium diazoefficiens. RNAcentral describes it as "tRNA-Ser". Lineage: Bacteria; Pseudomonadati; Pseudomonadota; Alphaproteobacteria; Hyphomicrobiales; Nitrobacteraceae. The record is from RNAcentral.
CCCGCAAAGAGGAUUAAAUUUCAUUCGUAAUGACGGGGUCGGGGGUUCGAAUCCCUCUUGCGGCACCA